AACGAACGCUGGCGGCAGGCUUAACACAUGCAAGUCGAACGCUCGUAGCAAUACGGGAGUGGCGGACGGGUGAGUAACGCGUGGGAACGUGCCCUGAGGUACGGAAUAACUGAGGGAAACUUCAGCUAAUACCGUAUGAGCCCCGAGAGGGGAAAGAUUAUCGCCUUGGGAGCGGCCCGCGUCGGAUUAGCUAGUUGGUGGGGUAACGGCCUACCAAGGCUUCGAUCCGUAGCUGGUCUGAGAGGACGAUCAGCCACACUGGGACUGAGACACGGCCCAGACUCCUACGGGAGGCAGCAGUGGGGAAUCUUGCGCAAUGGGGGCAACCCUGACGCAGCCAUGCCGCGUGAACGAUGAAGGCCUUAGGGUUGUAAAGUUCUUUACCCGUGACGAUGAUGACGGUAACGGGGGAAUAAGCUCCGGCUAACUUCGUGCCAGCAGCCGCGGU
Molecule: ribosomal RNA, 448 nt
Filed under: uncultured bacterium
Lineage: Bacteria
Description: bacterial SSU rRNA
Rfam family: Bacterial small subunit ribosomal RNA
Source: RNAcentral